Molecule: ribosomal RNA, 466 nt
Filed under: uncultured bacterium
Lineage: Bacteria
Description: partial 16S ribosomal RNA
Rfam family: Bacterial small subunit ribosomal RNA
Source: RNAcentral
GAUGAACGCUGGCGGCGUGCUUAACACAUGCAAGUCGAACGAUGAAGCCCAGCUUGCUGGGUGGAUUAGUGGCGAACGGGUGAGUAACACGUGAGUAACCUGCCCUUGACUCUGGGAUAAGCGCUGGAAACGGCGUCUAAUACCGGAUACGAGCUUCCACCGCAUGGUGAGUUGCUGGAAAGAAUUUCGGUCACGGAUGGACUCGCGGCCUAUCAGGUAGUUGGUGAGGUAACGGCUCACCAAGCCGACGACGGGUAGCCGGCCUGAGAGGGUGACCGGCCACACUGGGACUGAGACACGGCCCAGACUCCUACGGGAGGCAGCAGUGGGGAAUACUGCACAAUGGGCGCAAGCCUGAUGCAGCAACGCCGCGUGAGGGACGAAGGCCUUCGGGUCGUAAACCUCUUUUAGCAGGGAAGAAGCGAAAGUGACGGUACCUGCAGAAAAAGCACCGGCUAACUACGUG